GCCCUUACUUCGUCAAGGAUUUCCGCCUAUAUUGAUGAGGCCGGGGCAACCCGGUCUAUGGCGAUAAACGGAUGUCGAAAUAAACCUUUCGGACCCGGGGGCAGUACCCGGCGCCUCCACCCGUGUCGCUCGCCAUACCAGGCACACCCGUUCGUUGUAGCGGGGCCGGUCUUUCCCGUAAGGGGGGACUUUGCGGGCGACACCGGCGGGGGCGAACUAGGAUCGACGAGGGCGUAAAGGGCAUACUUUCGCUCGGCAUGGUUCCGCCGUUAUCGGGCCUAUCUCAUAGUUGCCAACGACAACUAUGCUCCGGUUGCUCAGGCCGCCUAAGCGGUCCUGAAAAACCAAGCCUACAAGUCCUAACGGGAUAAGCUCCGUUAGGCGGGGUUCGGAGGCACCUGGCAACAGAAGCCUCCACU
Molecule: transfer-messenger RNA, 419 nt
Filed under: Pseudolabrys sp. Root1462
Lineage: Bacteria; Pseudomonadati; Pseudomonadota; Alphaproteobacteria; Hyphomicrobiales; Xanthobacteraceae
Description: Alphaproteobacteria transfer-messenger RNA
Rfam family: Alphaproteobacteria transfer-messenger RNA
About the family: Bacterial tmRNA, also known as 10Sa RNA or SsrA, is named for its dual tRNA and mRNA-like properties. Its role is to liberate the mRNA from a stalled ribosome.
Source: Rfam by way of RNAcentral